ACCACCUGGGACGGCGAGAGGAACCGAUUGGGUUAGCCCUAAGUAGCGGAGAGUGAAGCGGUAAAAACUCACAUUGCAAAUCGGUCACUUUCGGAGCAGUAGUUGUAAUUUGUAGAAUUUGUCUUUGAUUAGGUCCUUGUCUAUGUUCCUUGGAACAGGACGUCAUAGAGGGUGAGAAUCCCGUUUGGCGAGGAUACCUUUUCUCUGUAAGACUUUUUCGAAGAGUCGAGUUGUUUGGGAAUGCAGCUCAAAGUGGGUGGUAAAUUCCAUCUAAAGCUAAAUAUUGGCGAGAGACCGAUAGCGAACAAGUACAGUGAUGGAAAGAUGAAAAGAACUUUGAAAAGAGAGUGAAAAAGUACGUGAAAUUGUUUAAAGGGAAGGGGAUUUGAUCAGACAUGGUGU
RNAcentral lists this ribosomal RNA (402 nucleotides) under Hanseniaspora uvarum. RNAcentral describes it as "eukaryotic LSU rRNA". It matches the Rfam family "Eukaryotic large subunit ribosomal RNA", at positions 42 to 441 of the family's 3401-position model. The record is from RNAcentral. Lineage: Eukaryota; Fungi; Ascomycota; Saccharomycetes; Saccharomycodales; Saccharomycodaceae.